This 61-nucleotide transfer RNA is filed under the name Parantropora penelope. RNAcentral describes it as "tRNA-Gln". The record is from RNAcentral. Lineage: Eukaryota; Metazoa; Bryozoa; Gymnolaemata; Cheilostomatida; Antroporidae.
UUUACAGAUAUUUUGUCAGAUCUUUGAAUUCUGGAAAGGGAUUUGUCUAUCCCCUGUAAAA